Molecule: ribosomal RNA, 1047 nt
Filed under: Metabacillus litoralis
Lineage: Bacteria; Bacillati; Bacillota; Bacilli; Caryophanales; Bacillaceae
Description: bacterial SSU rRNA
Rfam family: Bacterial small subunit ribosomal RNA
Source: RNAcentral
GAAGUGGCGGCGUGCUAAUACAUGCAGUCGAGCGGAUUGAUGGGAGCUUGCUCCCUGAUAUUAGCGGCGGACGGGUGAGUAACACGUGGGUAACCUGCCUGUAAGAUUGGGAUAACUCCGGGAAACCGGAGCUAAUACCGGAUAAUAUGUUGAACCGCAUGGUUCAACAUUGAAAGAUGGCUUUUGCUAUCACUUACAGAUGGACCCGCGGCGCAUUAGCUAGUUGGUGAGGUAACGGCUCACCAAGGCAACGAUGCGUAGCCGACCUGAGAGGGUGAUCGGCCACACUGGGACUGAGACACGGCCCAGACUCCUACGGGAGGCAGCAGUAGGGAAUCUUCCGCAAUGGACGAAAGUCUGACGGAGCAACGCCGCGUGAACGAUGAAGGCCUUCGGGUCGUAAAGUUCUGUUGUUAGGGAAGAACAAGUACCAGAGUAACUGCUGGUACCUUGACGGUACCUAACCAGAAAGCCACGGCUAACUACGUGCCAGCAGCCGCGGUAAUACGUAGGUGGCAAGCGUUGUCCGGAAUUAUUGGGCGUAAAGCGCGCGCAGGUGGUUUCUUAAGUCUGAUGUGAAAGCCCACGGCUCAACCGUGGAGGGUCAUUGGAAAACUGGGGAACUUGAGUGCAGAAGAGGAAAGUGGAAUUCCCAGUGUAGCGGUGAAAUGCGUAGAGAUUUGGAGGAACACCAGUGGCGAAGCGACUUUCUGGUCUGUAACUGACACUGAGCGCGAAAGCGUGGGGGGAGCGAACAGGAUUAGAUACCCUGGUAGUCCACGCCGUAAACGAUGAUGCUAGUGUUAAGAGGGUUUCCGCCCAUUAUGCUGCAGCAACGCAUAGCACUCCGCCUGGGGGGAGUACGGUCGCAGACUGAACUCAAGAUGACGGGGCCCGCCACAGCGGUGGACCAUGGUGGAUUUAUUCGAGGCACGCGGAGACUUACAGGUCUGACUUCCACUGCCCGUAUGAAGAUUACCUUCGUCGGAACUGGUGAACGUGGUCAUGGAUGCUCACUCCUGUCUGGAGUCGGAUUAGUCCGCACGA